Molecule: ribosomal RNA, 263 nt
Filed under: Escherichia coli
Lineage: Bacteria; Pseudomonadati; Pseudomonadota; Gammaproteobacteria; Enterobacterales; Enterobacteriaceae
Description: partial 23S ribosomal RNA
Rfam family: Bacterial large subunit ribosomal RNA
Source: RNAcentral
GGUUAAGCGACUAAGCGUACACGGUGGAUGCCCUGGCAGUCAGAGGCGAUGAAGGACGUGCUAAUCUGCGAUAAGCGUCGGUGAGGUGAUAUGAACCGUUAUAACCGGCGAUUUCCGAAUGGGGAAACCCAGUGUGUUUCGACACACUAUCAUUAACUGAAUCCAUAGGUUAAUGAGGCGAACCGGGGGAACUGAAACAUCUAAGUACCCCGAGGAAAAGAAAUCAACCGAGAUUCCCCCAGUAGCGGCGAGCGAACGGGGAG